RNAcentral lists this ribosomal RNA (440 nucleotides) under uncultured Megasphaera sp. Its description in RNAcentral is "bacterial SSU rRNA". It matches the Rfam family "Bacterial small subunit ribosomal RNA", at positions 108 to 525 of the family's 1533-position model. The record is from RNAcentral. Lineage: Bacteria; Bacillati; Bacillota; Negativicutes; Veillonellales; Veillonellaceae.
GAGUAACGCGUAAACAACCUGCCCUUCGGAUGGGGAUACAGCCGGAAACGGCUGCUAAUACCGAAUACGAUCUUUCGUCGCAUGACGGAAAAGAAGAAAAAGGAUGGCCUCUAUACAAAGCUAUCGCCGAAGGAGGGGUUUGCGUCUGAUUAGCUGGUUGGAGGGUAACGGCCCAACAAGGCGAUGAUCAGUAGCCGGUCUGAGAGGAUGAACGGCCACAUUGGGACUGAGACACGGCCCAGACUCCUACGGAGGCAGCAGUGGGGAAUCUUCCGCAAUGGACGAAAGUCUGACGGAGCAACGCCGCGUGAGUGAAGAAGGUCUUCGGAUUGUAAAACUCUGUUACACGGGACGAAAAAGGCGGAUGCCAACAGUAUCCGUCCGUGACGGUACCGUAAGAGAAAGCCACGGCUAACUACGUGCCAGCAGCCGCGGUAAAU